Molecule: ribosomal RNA, 419 nt
Filed under: uncultured bacterium
Lineage: Bacteria
Description: bacterial SSU rRNA
Rfam family: Bacterial small subunit ribosomal RNA
Source: RNAcentral
UGGGGAAUAUUGCACAAUGGGCGCAAGCCUGAUGCAGCGACGCCGCGUGAGGGAUGACGGCCUUCGGGUUGUAAACCUCUUUCACCAGGGACGAAGCGUGAGUGACGGUACCUGGAGAAGAAGCACCGGCCAACUACGUGCCAGCAGCCGCGGUAAUACGUAGGGUGCGAGCGUUGUCCGGAAUUACUGGGCGUAAAGAGCUCGUAGGCGGUUUGUCGCGUCGUCUGUGAAAUUCUGCAACUCAAUUGUAGGCGUGCAGGCGAUACGGGCAGACUUGAGUACUACAGGGGAGACUGGAAUUCCUGGUGUAGCGGUGAAAUGCGCAGAUAUCAGGAGGAACACCGGUGGCGAAGGCGGGUCUCUGGGUAGUAACUGACGCUGAGGAGCGAAAGCGUGGGGAGCGAACAGGAUUAGAUACC